This 279-nucleotide ribosomal RNA is filed under the name uncultured bacterium. RNAcentral describes it as "partial 16S ribosomal RNA". It matches the Rfam family "Bacterial small subunit ribosomal RNA", at positions 506 to 784 of the family's 1533-position model. The record is from RNAcentral.
UGCCAGCCGCCGCGGUAAUACGAACCGUCCAAACGUUAUUCGGUAUCACUGGGCUUAAAGCGUGCGUAGGCGGCUUGGUAGGUGAGAUGUGAAAGCCCACGGCUCAACCGUGGAAUUGCGUUUCAAACCCCCAAGCUCGAGGAAGAUAGGGGUGAUGGGAACUUAUGGUGGAGCGGUGAAAUGCGUUGAUAUCAUAGGGAACACCAGUGGCGAAGGCGGCUUACUGGGUCUCUACUGACGCUGAGGCACGAAAGCUAGGGUAGCGAACAGGAUUAGAUA